UGUCAGCCAAAGCCUCAAGUGGUCACCAAAGAUUUCUAAGAGAUCUGUCUCUGCACUGCUUCCUUCUCUCUGUUUCUCUGGCACACGCAUUCCAGCCACCCCGUCAGCUCAUGGGUCUCUGGGAUCCACUUUCCUGUGCUACAGUUUGGAAAACUCCCUAAUGCAGACAGCCGGACAAAACAUCUGUCCCUUCAAGUGCUUCCAGAUCACCUGCAAAGCCAGAUCGGCCAAAUUGGUGCUUGGGCAACCUGUGUAGAAACAAUUCCAUCUCAAAUUGCAAAACUGAACCACAAACACUGGGAGGUUCAGUCCCCAACUGAUACAGAGUACUCUCUCCGUUGCUUAACUUUGAACAGCACAGUGUUGACACCCAGUCAAUGUUAAUAUGAGAUUAUUUAUGGGAUCCCUAUGGAUGUCACC
Molecule: long non-coding RNA, 420 nt
Organism: Zalophus californianus (California sea lion)
Lineage: Eukaryota; Metazoa; Chordata; Mammalia; Carnivora; Otariidae
Exons: 3
Source: RefSeq, a predicted model, not a curated record